UGGGGAAUUUUGGACAAUGGGCGCAAGCCUGAUCCAGCAAUGCCGCGUGCAGGAUGAAGGCCUUCGGGUUGUAAACUGCUUUUGUACGGAGCGAAAAGGUCUGCCCUAAUACGGUGGGCUCAUGACGGUACCGUAAGAAUAAGCACCGGCUAACUACGUGCCAGCAGCCGCGGUAAUACGUAGGGUGCGAGCGUUAAUCGGAAUUACUGGGCGUAAAGCGUGCGCAGGCGGUUAUAUAAGACAGAUGUGAAAUCCCCGGGCUCAACCUGGGACCUGCAUUUGGGACUGUAUAGCUAGAGUACGGUAGAGGGGGAUGGAAUUCAGCGUGUAGCAGUGAAAUGCGUAGAUAUGCGGAGGAACACCGAUGGCGAAGGCAAUCCCCUGGACCUGUACUGACGCUCAUGCACGAAAGCGUGGGGAGCAAACA
Molecule: ribosomal RNA, 427 nt
Filed under: uncultured bacterium
Lineage: Bacteria
Description: bacterial SSU rRNA
Rfam family: Bacterial small subunit ribosomal RNA
Source: RNAcentral